Molecule: long non-coding RNA, 2354 nt
Organism: Xenopus tropicalis (tropical clawed frog)
Lineage: Eukaryota; Metazoa; Chordata; Amphibia; Anura; Pipidae
Exons: 2
Source: RefSeq, a predicted model, not a curated record
GGGGACGUUUAGUGACGUCAUGGCCCAUUGAUGCACUAUGAUGUGCCAAUAAUGACUUGUUCAGCUUCCAUAGUGCUUAAGCAGACGUUUAAUAAUUACUGGGAUCCAGGCUGGAGGAGAGAGCCCAGCUCAAUAAAUUCGAAUCUGCGUUUAAGGAGGCAGCGCAACAUGAAGGUCAAAGGAUUGAGCCGUUAUUUGAUUUUGAGCUUUUGACAAACUUGUAUCCAGUCAGCCACCUUCAGCUCAGAAUCUAGACCUUUCAAAGACACAGACCAGCUUAUGAGAAAUGAAGAUAAUAUCCAGCUGAGUGAUAUUGCUUGUGUUUGCUUCAGUGCACCUCUCAUUAAGGUUUUUUGUAAUACAUUUAAUGUUGUAUUUGUGGAUUUUAGUCUAUUAUUACCUAUUUACCUAUUAUUAACCCUGGAUGGUACAUAAUAUGGUAAGAACCAUUUAGAACAUGUUUCUAAAGUGAUUUGCAUUGAGCAUCCCUUUAUUUUUACAGCAUCCCAGCCUUCUUUUAGAGACAAAACUAGCUCCCUUCUGCAUGCUGCCUUUAUGUUUUAAGAUGAUUUUAUUUUGGAUAAGCAUAGCAAUGAGCCUUUCAUACACCUUAUUUGUGCCAGUUGCCAUACAUGCAUACUAGAUGAAAAUAUAUAUGUGCACCAAAAAAGUAAGCCACAAGUAAGCCAGAUUACUGUGAGUUAUUUGCUGCGAUCCGAAGGUUAGGCAAGGGGAUGGGAUUUUUGGGAGAUUUGUCACCUCAAUGAGUCUCCUCAUUUGCCAAUACUCUUAAUUCUUUUUUUCCACUCUACUUAUAUGAACUACCCCAGUUUACCAGUACAUUCUUUUAAUCAGAGUGGAAUGAAUAAAUAAAUAAAAAAAUAAAAAAAUAAACCACUUACAGUAAUUUGCCCCCAACCACCAAAGGCUACAAAUCACCCCAUGUGCAAAUACCCUUAAAAUGCCAUGGUAUUUUGAAUCAGUAAUUGAUAAACACAUUUAGAAAAUAUCAUCAGAUAUCUUAUCAUAAAUUUAGAUUUCAUAUGUCUGUAUUGUUUUCAAUUUCAAAUGCUUAUGUUUACUUUGCCUUACCCUUUUCUCUCUUUUACUCCUAGUUAAAUCUGCCAUCUCCAAACAGCAAUGUAGUUCAUGUGCGGGUAGCGAUGUUUUAAGGAGCCUUUCAGUUUAAAGGUGAUUCAUCAUGCACGGAUUCUGAGUUUUUGUUUAUUGUAGGCUUAUGGCACAUGUAGUGUUUUCCUGCCUGUGGCAGCCUGAUUUAAAUGUAGACUACCUGUCAACAGGUGACAGCUGGACUUUUAACAAUAUUUAAGUUAAUUCAUAUUGUAACAUAAAGAUAAUGACAAGCAAGUGAAUUACUACUAUAGUAGUAUUGCUUAUUCAAUCUCUCACGCUUAUUUAAAUAAAUUUUUCUUCCGUGGAGCAGGUAUAAUGUAUGCAGAUAAUCUUUCUGUAAGGUAUAUCUCAUAAGAUACUGUAAGAAUAUGAGAAAAAAAAAUUGACAAUUUUUUUUUAAGAAAUAUAACUAACUCCAACUCCAAGGCCAAUUUAAAAAUCAUUAAAACAAUAAUUUUUUUUUAAAUACUGUACUUUCAGAAAUAUAAUCACAUUCCUGUUCCAAAUUAAAUGUAUAAUUAUGAAGAGUAAAUAAGGUAUUUACUUGACCAAUCAAGAAUUACACAUUCUCCAUACUGAGGAUUUAGAGUCUCUUCCAACCUUCCAACGCCACCACCCACAGCAAUAUCUAUAUCAAGGAUGGAAUUAAAGACUAUUCCUUCAAAUGUCAUCUUCCAACAUGUAAGCUUAUUUGGGAGAACAUACUGUGAGCAUAGUAGUUCCAUUAAACUACAUAUUCAACCCCUAUUUAAAAAAGACAAACAUUAUUGUUCCAAAUGCAAUAACUUGGCAAGCAGCUGUAUGUACAGUAUUAGCAUUUCACAAUUAACAAGAUUAGCCUAGCCUACAAGUAUCUGAUUAGUAUGAUGAAUCAAUAAAUAAUCAAAGGCAGGCCCCGUGACUGCUAUUUUAGCAGUGUGUUGGAGGCCACUACAACAGGAAGUAGAUAUAUAGCCUGCUUGAAGUACUCUGUGUCAACUGAGAGCUGGAAAAAACCUACCAAGGACCAACUGUAUGAAUCUUCCGAGAAACUGGUACCUUUGUUAAUUGUUAUUAUAUUUGAUUUUUCCUUAUGAAGUGUAUUUUUCUUUGUGCAAAUAAUUCUGUUAUGUCUUUAAUUGAAACAUUUUUUCUAUAUUUAAUUUGUCUCAACUUAAUUUUGUAAAAAAGUACUUAGAGUAUUUAAUAAUGUUUUCAAAUAUUAAAAAAUCACACAGGAA